AGCAGCCGCGGUAAUUCCAGCUCCAAUAGCGUAUAUUAAAGUUGUUGCAGUUAAAAAGCUCGUAGUUGAAUUUCGGGGUCAGUAGGUUGGUCAUGCCACUGGUAUGUACUGGUCUCACUGAUUCCUCCUUCCUGAUGAACUGUAAUGCCAUUAAUUUGGUGUUGCAGGGAAUCUGGACUGUUACUUUGAAAAAUUAGAGUGUUUAAAGCAGGCUAACGCCUGAAUACAUUAGCAUGGAAUAAUGAAAUAGGACGUUCGAUCCUAUUUUGUUGGUUUCUAGGAUUGACGUAAUGAUUAAUAGGGAUAGUUGGGGGCAUUAGUAUUCAAUUGUCAGAGGUGAAAUUCUUGGAUUUAUUGAAGACUAACUACUGCGAAAGCAUUUGCCAAGGAUGUUUUCAUUAAUCAAGAACGAAAGUUAGGGGAUCGAAGACGAUCAGAUACCGUCGUAGUCUUAACCAUAAACUAUGCCGACUAGGGAUCGGAUGAUGUUAAUUUUUUAAUGACUCU
Molecule: ribosomal RNA, 507 nt
Filed under: uncultured Glomeromycotina
Lineage: Eukaryota; Fungi; Glomeromycota
Description: SSU rRNA
Rfam family: Eukaryotic small subunit ribosomal RNA
Source: RNAcentral